CUGGUGUUCACUAGCGAACCAGCACCAAAACACAACAUAUGCUGGUCUUGCUGGUAUGCUGUUUUUUUCAGCAGGGUAGCCCCUUUCAUUCCUUAGGAUCCAAACAGGGAUGGAUUUAGAAGCCACCAAACACUUCCAUGUUUUCCCUAGUUAAUGACUGUUACAUAAGGAGUUACAUGAGUAAGUAUGGUAGCACAAAAUAAAAUGUGGUGAUUUUUUUAAGCUGAUAAAAAAUGAGAACUAAAUUGUAUGGCGGAAGAGCACUUAGUUUGCAACACUUUAACCUCAACCUCUCAUUUUUUAUCUGCUUAAAAAAUCGCCAUGUUUUAUUUUGUCCCACCAUACUUAGUCCCACUACUCAUGUAACACACUUUCUGGCCUUAUUAGCAGGAAGUAUUAGUCUGCCUGCUUUUCCUCCUGUUCAUUUGUUGCUCCGACCCCUCCCACCCACCACAAGACGUCAUUUAGACGUUGUUUUUUGGGCUAAAUCACGUCGGCCCGUCAUGACCUUCAUUUAGUCCAAAAAAAGACGUUGAAAUCUGGUCUUUGUUUGGUCCGUCUAAUUCAGUCCAAAUUUAGCCUAAAAUCAGAUGUCUUUUUCGGACCACUUUUCUACUACAAUAGAACCAUGUGAACCAAGUGUCUGUCCAUUAAAUAAUAAUCCUAACAAAAUAUGCAUGAAUGUAUAGGUAGAAACAAUAAAUAAUGAGCACACUGAACGAUAAUGAAUAUGCUUUAUUUAAAGUCUAUUAAUAUUUCUGUUUAUUUUAAUGAAAUAAAUAUGUAAAAUGGGCUUUCGGUCCCGUACAGCACUGUUAGAAGCACUUCAUUUUCAUCUUUUAACAAAUAUCUUUAUUUUCUUUAAUUAUGAUAUUAUUGGCAGAGGCGCGCGUCCGUCUCGUGCUUUGUGAUCACGUGAUUAUUCAACCGGGAGACGGGCGUUCUGGAUUCUCCUCAGACAACAAGUGUUACUGUUUUGUGGUCGAUUCUGGGAUCCUUUUCUUGGUGUGUCUUGAUGUUUUCUAUUGGCUAAAGACAUGCCUCUGUGAAACUGACAAUCUCGGGUAGGAGCUGCUGGUUUGUGGUUGGCAGUAUGGAUCACGGUCUGCGACUCAUGAGGAGCUGGGCUGGAGACAUGAAGAGGUUGUCAACAGGUGAAGAGGUCUGAAGCUAAUACCUGCCAUGGUCUGAUUGGUAUUUCAUAGAGUUGGGGUACUCGAACCUGGACUCGGACUCGAGUCC
This is a non-coding RNA of Misgurnus anguillicaudatus (oriental weatherfish), 1242 nucleotides long. Lineage: Eukaryota; Metazoa; Chordata; Actinopteri; Cypriniformes; Cobitidae. The record is from RefSeq and is a predicted model, not a curated record.